UACGUAGGGCGCAAGCGUUAUCCGGAAUUAUUGGGCGUAAAGAGCUCGUAGGCGGCUUGUCGCGUCGACUGUGAAAUCCCGCGGCUCAACUGCGGGUCUGCAGUCGAUACGGGCAGGCUAGAGUUCGGUAGGGGAGACUGGAAUUCCUGGUGUAGCGGUGAAAUGCGCAGAUAUCAGGAGGAACACCGAUGGCGAAGGCAGGUCUCUGGGCCGAUACUGACGCUGAGGAGCGAAAGCGUGGGGAGCGAACAGG
Molecule: ribosomal RNA, 253 nt
Filed under: uncultured bacterium
Lineage: Bacteria
Description: partial 16S ribosomal RNA
Rfam family: Bacterial small subunit ribosomal RNA
Source: RNAcentral